This is a non-coding RNA of Camellia sinensis, 214 nucleotides long. NCBI's taxonomy places the organism in Eukaryota, Viridiplantae, Streptophyta, Magnoliopsida, Ericales, Theaceae. The record is from RefSeq and is a predicted model, not a curated record.
AUUGACAAAUCUAUCUCAUAACUUUAUUGUUCUUCCAUUUUGUCAUAUCGGUGGGACAAAAAAAAAAAAAAAAAAACAGGCUUUGAACAAUUGGCUUAGGAUUCAAGAGGAACAAGAAAAUUCGUUUUGUUUUCGAGUUUUUGGAACUGUUAUAAACCCAUUCUUCAUCCCAUUGGUUUCAUCGUUUUAGGGGGUUGGGACUGAAAAGUAGUGA